CACGCCGUAAACGAUGAUGACUAACUAUAGCCGUGAGGCUGUGGUGAAGCAAACGCAUUAAGUCAUCCGCCUGGGAAGUACGGUCGCAAGACUGAAACUUAAAGGAAUUGACGGGUCCCCGCACAAGCAGUGGAGCAUGAGGUUUAAUUCGACGCUACGCGAAGAACCUUACCAGAACUUGACAUGGCGGAUAAUGCGGCAGAAAUGCAGAGAUAAGACACGCACACAGGUGG
This 233-nucleotide ribosomal RNA is filed under the name uncultured bacterium. RNAcentral's name for it is "partial 16S ribosomal RNA". It matches the Rfam family "Bacterial small subunit ribosomal RNA", at positions 796 to 1041 of the family's 1533-position model. The record is from RNAcentral.